This 490-nucleotide ribosomal RNA is filed under the name uncultured bacterium. RNAcentral's name for it is "partial 16S ribosomal RNA". It matches the Rfam family "Bacterial small subunit ribosomal RNA", at positions 28 to 507 of the family's 1533-position model. The record is from RNAcentral.
GAUGAACGCUAGCUACAGGCUUAACACAUGCAAGUCGAGGGGCAGCGGGAUUGAAGCUUGCUUCAAUUGCCGGCGACCGGCGCACGGGUGAGUAACGCGUAUCCAACCUUCCGUACACUCAGGGAUAGCCUUUCGAAAGAAAGAUUAAUACCUGAUGGUAUGAUGAGAUUGCAUGAUAUCAUCAUUAAAGAUUUAUCGGUGUACGAUGGGGAUGCGUUCCAUUAGGUAGUAGGCGGGGUAACGGCCCACCUAGCCAACGAUGGAUAGGGGUUCUGAGAGGAAGGUCCCCCACAUUGGAACUGAGACACGGUCCAAACUCCUACGGGAGGCAGCAGUGAGGAAUAUUGGUCAAUGGACGAGAGUCUGAACCAGCCAAGUAGCGUGAAGGAUGAAGGUCCUACGGACUGUAAACUUCUUUUAUAAGGGAAUAAACCCUCCCACGUGUGGGAGCUUGUAUGUACCUUAUGAAUAAGCAUCGGCUAACUCCGUG